RNAcentral lists this ribosomal RNA (484 nucleotides) under uncultured bacterium. Its description in RNAcentral is "partial 16S ribosomal RNA". It matches the Rfam family "Bacterial small subunit ribosomal RNA", at positions 30 to 507 of the family's 1533-position model. The record is from RNAcentral.
AUUGAACGCUGGCGGCAGGCCUAACACAUGCAAGUCGAGCGGAUGAAGGGAGCUUGCUCCUGGAUUCAGCGGCGGACGGGUGAGUAAUGCCUAGGAGGCUGCCUGGUAGUUGGGGAUAACGUCCGGAAACGGGCGCUAAUACCGCAUACGUCCUGAUGGAGAAAGUGGGGGAUCUUCGGACCUCACGCUAUCAGAUGAGCCUAGGUCGGAUUAGCUAGUUGGUGGGGUAAAGGCCUACCAAGGCGACGAUCCGUAACUGGCCUGAGAGGAUGAUCAGUCACACUGGAACUGAGACACGGUCCAGACUCCUACGGGAGGCAGCAGUGGGGAAUAUUGGACAAUGGGCGAAAGCCUGAUCCAGCCAUGCCGCGUGUGUGAAGAAGGUCUUCGGAUCGUAAAGCACUUUAAGUUGGGAGGAAGGGCAGUAAGUUAAUAUCUUGCUGUCUUGACGUUACCAACAGAAUAAGCAACGGCUAACUUCGUG